This 377-nucleotide ribosomal RNA is filed under the name uncultured bacterium. RNAcentral's name for it is "bacterial SSU rRNA". It matches the Rfam family "Bacterial small subunit ribosomal RNA", at positions 523 to 898 of the family's 1533-position model. The record is from RNAcentral.
AUACGUAGGUGGCGAGCGUUGUCCGGAAUUACUGGGUGUAAAGGGUGUGUAGGCGGGUAUGCAAGUCAGAUGUGAAAUACCGGGGCUCAACCCCGGGGCUGCAUUUGAAACUGUAUAUCUUGAGUGCAGGAGAGGAAAGCGGAAUUCCUAGUGUAGCGGUGAAAUGCGUAGAGAUUAGGAGGAACACCAGUGGCGAAGGCGGCUUUCUGGACUGUAACUGACGCUGAGGCACGAAAGCGUGGGUAGCGAACAGGAUUAGAUACCCUGGUAGUCCACGCCGUAAACGAUGGAUACUAGGUGUAGGGGGUAUCGACCCCCUCUGUGCCGGAGUUAACACAAUAAGUAUCCCACCUGGGGAGUACGACCGCAAGGUUGAA